ACUGGCUGCUUCUUACAUGAAAUUCAAGUUCCAAUUCUCUCCAACGUGGUGUAUAUUUUAGUUUUGCGCAGCACAUCAGAUAUGAAAGCUUCAAGAUAUUUGUUUAAAUAAUAACUGUGAACACGAGCGAAUGGCAAAUUCUAUUUCAUUAAAGUCUUCUGCUGAGUCCAUCAGUUAACUCUUAACCGUGGUACGGAUUGCACGCGGGCUUUCCCAGCUAAAUUCGUGACAGUCCGGGAAAUACCUGGCUCAGUUUACUUGGAGCAAAGUGCAAUCUUUCUGUUAAUUUAUUAUCGUUGGAGUAUCUUUAUAGCCUCCGCUAAUAAACCGGUUUUUAACAAUAAGAAAAUUCACGGAUCGGUGCAAGUGGUGUUAGGUGUUUUUUGGCUGCAAAUUAAUAGUUCAGUGAAGAAUCACAGGUGAAACAAGUGAUUGGUACUGAGAGCAAGGUUUUUGCAGAAUGGUGAUGAGAUAAAAGAUUGAUGCUGGCGAGGGUGCCCGGAUAUUGAAUUGUGUUUUAAUGACUAUGUAAAACGCGGUUGAUGAAGACGAUUUAUCUCUAGGAGCCAAAUCUUGUUAAUCUUUGAAUAUUGCGUGUACAGAUCACUAAACCUGCACUAAAAUGAUUACACUGCAAACGACAAUUUGGCUGUUGAUACUAACAUUUUCUAUUGUGAUAUCUAAAAUUGACGCCAUCCAAUAUGUUUACGACAGUCUGAACGUACCUUGCAGUUUUUGGAAUACAAUUAACAUUACCGACGGAAUUCGCCUGGCAAACGGGUCCUAUUUAUACGAUGGAAGAAUUUACCCCGAGGACUACGUGGGGACGUAUGAUUAUGAGUUCGUCAAUUUAACUUUCAGGCAAUCAGUCAAACCACACCUUCGCGGGUGCGUCUGCAAGAUGGCAACCUGCGUUAGGUUGUGCUGUCCAGUUACUCAGUAUUUCGACGAUCGACAGAAAAUAUGUAGCGACCCUCCGAGAAAUGUCAGCACCCUGGUCAAUGUAACUGAUUAUAAAGGGAACGUGGAGACAGUAAAUAUUGGGGAGAAAUUCGGUUUUGUUUACGGUACGCCAUGUGAGAAAAUGUACUACUUGGAUCCUGCUUCGUUUGAGUACGACAAAUGGGAUCUGUUUGAGAAUGGCACAGUUUUUAGAUGGGAGGACAGAGCUUACCUAUCGAAAAAUGAUUAUUGUUUUUCUCCAACUUUCACCAUGAACUCAUCUGUGAUGAUUUUUAGUCCAUUCGUCUGUUUUCCAAAUACAGAAACUUCACAAUAUUUAAUUUAUGGAAUUGCUAUGUUGACUUCAGUGCCAUUUUUCAUUAUAACAGUCUUAGUAUACUUGGUUAUUCCCGAACUUCGAAACUUACAUGGAAAGGCUCUCUGCUGCUACCUCUCAUGUCUGGUGGUGGGCUACAGUUGCUUGGGGCAUACACUGAUCGAAGGUGGAAUAAUUGUGACAGAUCCUCUUUGUGAGAUUUUAGGUUUCACGGCAUAUUUUGCACUUAUCAGCAGCUUCCUAUGGUUGAGUGUAAUCAGUUUUGAUUUGUGGUGGAAUUUCCGCAUAAUGACAACGAGAGGACCAAAAAAGGAACUAAAACGGUUCAUAAUGUAUUCCUUAUAUUCUUGGGGACUCGGAUUGUGCUUCACAGCGGCUGUUAUUCUAAUACAGAAAUCGAAUAUACCUGAAGAGUGGAAGCCUGGUAUUGGCGGAGGACAAUUCUGUUGGAUAGAUGCAAGGGGAUGGUAUCAGUUGCCAUACUUCUAUGGGCCGAUGAUAAUAAUCAUAACUUUUAAUAUUGCGAUGUUCGUUAUGACUACCUACAAAAUCCACCAUGUGAAGAAAGAAACUUCAAAAGUUAUGGGGCGAGAAGAUAGUCGAAGGAAUAUUAACCGAGAAAAAGACAAUGUUGGACUAUUCCUGCGACUAUUCAUCGUAAUGGGCGUCACGUGGUCACUGGACGUGGUAUCAUGGCUUCUUGGAAAACGUUACGAUUUUCUCUUUUACAUUACGGACAUUUGUAACGCCAUCCAAGGCCUCAUCAUUUUCAUAUUGUUCGUAAUGAAAAACAAAGUGAAACGACUAAUCAUCAAGAAAUUCAACGGAUUCAGCGUCACCUCAUGGACAUCUCGCGUGGAGCAGUCUUCGCCACCAACUCGCAUAAUGCCUGUGGUCAAAAACAAUUGCAUAAAAGUUUGCCAGGACAAAUUCUAAACUCUAGACAGGCAAUAGUACAACACUACGGGGGAGAGGUACAUCAACGAUGGCUGUGAUAUAGAAAGUUGUAGGCAAACACGACGUACUGAAAGCAGGUCCUUUAGAAAAACUAGUUCUAUGUACUUGUAUAAUUCAGUACGUGGCCUUCAAAAAGACACUAGGACAAGUCAAUAUUCGACCAAAACCAGUAGCGUAACCAUGACGACCACGCCCACAAGUGCACUCCAUGACAAAACUGACAUGGGACUCAUCCCUAUAAUCGAG
RNAcentral lists this unclassified non-coding RNA (2482 nucleotides) under Hermetia illucens (black soldier fly). Its description in RNAcentral is "g-protein coupled receptor Mth2-like, transcript variant X4". The record is from RNAcentral. Lineage: Eukaryota; Metazoa; Arthropoda; Insecta; Diptera; Stratiomyidae.